RNAcentral lists this ribosomal RNA (486 nucleotides) under uncultured bacterium. RNAcentral describes it as "bacterial SSU rRNA". It matches the Rfam family "Bacterial small subunit ribosomal RNA", at positions 30 to 504 of the family's 1533-position model. The record is from RNAcentral.
UGAACGCUAGCGGGAGGCUUAACACAUGCAAGUCGAGGGGUAACAGGCUGGAAUUUCGGUUUCGGUGCUGACGACCGGCGAACGGGUGAGUAACGCGUAUGCAACCUGCCUUUUACAGGGGGAUAGCUUUCGGAAACGGAAAUUAAUACCCCAUAACACUGCACUGUGGCAUCACAGAGCAGUUAAAGCUUCGGUGGUAAAAGAUGGGCAUGCGUAACAUUAGCUAGUUGGUGAGGUAAGGGCUCACCAAGGCUACGAUUUUUAGGGGACCUGAGAGGGUGAUCCCCCACACUGGUACUGAGACACGGACCAGACUCCUACGGGAGGCAGCAGUGAGGAAUAUUGGUCAAUGGACGGAAGUCUGAACCAGCCAUCCCGCGUGCAGGAAGACGGCCCUAUGGGUUGUAAACUGCUUUUCUGAAGGAAGAAUAACCCCGAGUUUCUCGGGGGACGACGGUACUUCAGGAAUAAGCAUCGGCUAACUCC